Molecule: transfer RNA, 71 nt
Filed under: Globomyces pollinis-pini
Lineage: Eukaryota; Fungi; Chytridiomycota; Chytridiomycetes; Rhizophydiales; Globomycetaceae
Description: tRNA-Gly
Rfam family: tRNA
About the family: Transfer RNA (tRNA) molecules are approximately 80 nucleotides in length. Their secondary structure includes four short double-helical elements and three loops (D, anti-codon, and T loops).
Source: RNAcentral
GCGUCAGUGGUUUAGUGGUAAAAUUCAUCGUUGCCAUCAAUGAGCCCCCCGUUCAAUUCCGGGCUGGCGCA